UGGGGAAUUUUGGACAAUGGGCGAAAGCCUGAUCCAGCAAUGCCGCGUGUGUGAAGAAGGCCUUCGGGUUGUAAAGCACUUUUGUCCGGAAAGAAAUCCUUGGCUCUAAUACAGUCGGGGGAUGACGGUACCGGAAGAAUAAGCACCGGCUAACUACGUGCCAGCAGCCGCGGUAAUACGUAGGGUGCAAGCGUUAAUCGGAAUUACUGGGCGUAAAGCGUGCGCAGGCGGUCCGCUAAGACAGAUGUGAAAUCCCCGGGCUUAACCUGGGAACUGCAUUUGUGACUGGCGGGCUAGAGUAUGGCAGAGGGGGGUAGAAUUCCACGUGUAGCAGUGAAAUGCGUAGAGAUGUGGAGGAAUACCGAUGGCGAAGGCAGCCCCCCUGGGCC
This 389-nucleotide ribosomal RNA is filed under the name uncultured bacterium. Its description in RNAcentral is "partial 16S ribosomal RNA". It matches the Rfam family "Bacterial small subunit ribosomal RNA", at positions 355 to 735 of the family's 1533-position model. The record is from RNAcentral.